UGGGGAAUAUUGGACAAUGGGGGGAACCCUGAUCCAGCCAUGCCGCGUGUGUGAAGAAGGCCUUUUGGUUGUAAAGCACUUUAAGCGAGGAGGAGGCUACCGAGAUUAAUACUCUUGGAUAGUGGACGUUACUCGCAGAAUAAGCACCGGCUAACUCUGUGCCAGCAGCCGCGGUAAUACAGAGGGUGCAAGCGUUAAUCGGAUUUACUGGGCGUAAAGCGCGCGUAGGUGGCCAAUUAAGUCAAAUGUGAAAUCCCCGAGCUUAACUUGGGAAUUGCAUUCGAUACUGGUUGGCUAGAGUAUGGGAGAGGAUGGUAGAAUUCCAGGUGUAGCGGUGAAAUGCGUAGAGA
RNAcentral lists this ribosomal RNA (350 nucleotides) under uncultured bacterium. Its description in RNAcentral is "bacterial SSU rRNA". It matches the Rfam family "Bacterial small subunit ribosomal RNA", at positions 355 to 696 of the family's 1533-position model. The record is from RNAcentral.